RNAcentral lists this ribosomal RNA (488 nucleotides) under uncultured Dietzia sp. RNAcentral's name for it is "bacterial SSU rRNA". It matches the Rfam family "Bacterial small subunit ribosomal RNA", at positions 378 to 877 of the family's 1533-position model. Lineage: Bacteria; Bacillati; Actinomycetota; Actinomycetes; Mycobacteriales; Dietziaceae. The record is from RNAcentral.
AAAGCCUGAUGCAGCGACGCCGCGUGGGGGAUGACGGUCUUCGGAUUGUAAACCCCUUUCAGUAGGGACGAAGCGCAAGUGACGGUACCUGCAGAAGAAGCACCGGCUAACUACGUGCCAGCAGCCGCGGUAAUACGUAGGGUGCGAGCGUUGUCCGGAAUUACUGGGCGUAAAGAGCUCUUAAGGGGUUUGUCGCGUGGGCAGUGAAAUCCUUCAGCUUAACUGGGGGCGUGCAGGCUAUACGGGCAGACUUGAGUACUACAGGGGAGACUGGAAUUCCUGGUGUAGCGGUGAAAUGCGCAGAUAUCAGGAGGAACACCGGUGGCGAAGGCGGGUCUCUGGGUAGUAACUGACGCUGAGGAGCGAAAGCAUGGGUAGCGAACAGGAUUAGAUACCCUGGUAGUCCAUGCCGUAAACGGUGGGCGCUAGGUGUGGGGUCCUUCCACGGACUCCGUGCCGUACCUAACGCAUUAAGCGCCCCGCCUGGG